This 253-nucleotide ribosomal RNA is filed under the name uncultured bacterium. RNAcentral describes it as "partial 16S ribosomal RNA". It matches the Rfam family "Bacterial small subunit ribosomal RNA", at positions 524 to 776 of the family's 1533-position model. The record is from RNAcentral.
UACGUAGGGUGCGAGCGUUGUCCGGAAUUAUUGGGCGUAAAGGGCUCGUAGGCGGUUUGUCGCGUCGGGAGUGAAAACAUCGGGCUUAACUCGGUGCUUGCUUUCGAUACGGGCAGACUUGAGGCAUGCAGGGGAGAACGGAAUUCCUGGUGUAGCGGUGAAAUGCGCAGAUAUCAGGAGGAACACCGGUGGCGAAGGCGGUUCUCUGGGCAUGUUCUGACGCUGAGGAGCGAAAGUGUGGGGAGCGAACAGG